GAUGAACGCUGGCGGCGUGCUUAACACAUGCAAGUCGAACGGAAAGGCCCAAGCUUGCUUGGGUACUCGAGUGGCGAACGGGUGAGUAACACGUGGGUGAUCUGCCCUGCACUUCGGGAUAAGCCUGGGAAACUGGGUCUAAUACCGGAUAGGACCACAUUUUGGAUGGUGUGGUGGAACGUUUUUCGGUGUGGGAUGAGCUCGCGGCCUAUCAGCUUGUUGGUGGGGUAAUGGCCUACCAAGGCGUCGACGGGUAGCCGGCCUGAGAGGGUGUACGGCCACAUUGGGACUGAGGUACGGCCCAGACUCCUACGGGAGGCAGAAGUGGGGAAUAUUGCACAAUGGGCGCAAGCCUGAUGCAGCGACGCCGCGUGGGGGAUGACGGCCUUCGGGUUGUAAACUCCUUUCGCUAGGGACGAAGCGUUAUGUGACGGUACCUGGAGAAGAAGCACCGGCUAACUACGUG
RNAcentral lists this ribosomal RNA (466 nucleotides) under uncultured bacterium. Its description in RNAcentral is "partial 16S ribosomal RNA". It matches the Rfam family "Bacterial small subunit ribosomal RNA", at positions 28 to 507 of the family's 1533-position model. The record is from RNAcentral.